CCCCAGGUUCUAGAAGGCCCUGCUCUCUGAUUCCUGUGCUUCCUGCUCCGGGAUCUCACCAGAGCCCUGCCUUUGGGGAGAGGCAAUGGCUGAUGGAAGCCUGGAGGUGAAUGUGUCAAUGGGCCAUCCUCGAUGGUCAGGCAGUGCCUUGGCUCAUCUGGGCAUCAUUCUCCAAUCUGGAAAACGAUCUAGCUGUUGGAAAGACAGUCAACCUUAGACUUAGCCCCCUGUAGUGUGCAUUUUGUUUUUCAAGAAAAUCAUAUAUUCAUAAAAUCCACUUUCAUAAAAUCAAAAUCCAAGGCCAUCAAAGCAGAGGGCCCCUUGUGGCUCAGCAGUAAUGGACCCGAGGAAUAUCCAUGAGGAAGCGGGUUUAAUACCUGGCCUUGCUCAGUGGGCAAAGGAUCAGUGAGCUGUGGAUUAGGUGGUACAUCCAUCUCUGAUCACGGGGGGCCAAGUCCAGAAUGGUGGCAGAGGCGAUCUUGUGUAUCUCUGAUCGACCACCAGCCUAGAACUUCUCCAUGCCAUGCGUGGAGAUCCCAAAAUCAAUAUAAAAUCUACAUUUUUUUUAAAAAGUUACACCUUGCCAUUUGUUACUAUUGAGUCAUUGAAAUAAAGAAUCUUUUCAUCUUUGCCCAGGAAAUACAUUAGUACAUGAAUUUUAUCAGAAGAAAGAUAUCCAUUGAAAUCCUAUCACCGUGUAGUAAGACAUCUACCAAAUGGCCUUCAUUUCUCUUCACACUCCCGCUGACUGUUGAAGACUUGUGGUUUAUGCAAUGAAAUAAUAAUGAAAAGAAGGGAAAAAUCCUCCACCAGGAACAGAGAACACCAUUGCUCCUGGAAAGGUGAAGUGUCAAUCUGCACGGGUGCUCUGUAUCUUCUGUGUGGCUUAUGAAACAGGUGGGCAGAGUGAUGGAUGGACUCAUGCAUCAGCAUUAUCCCUGAGGGAUCUACCAUGUGGCCAUUAUUUCUCAUCAGAGAAAGAAGUGAAAGACCCACUCCCUGAUAGCUCUUUAAAGAGUUGUGGUUCAUGCAAUGAAAUAAUGCUGAAAAGAAGGGGAAAAUCCUCCAUGAGGAACAUAGAACACCAUUGUUUCAGGAAAGGUGAAGUGUCAAUCUGCACAAGUGCUGUAUCUUCUGUGUGGCUUAUGAAACAGGUGGGCAGAGAGAUGGAUGGACUCAUGCAUAAGCAUUAUCACCGAGGUGAGUCACGGGAUCUACCAAAUGGCCUUUAUUUCUCAUCAGAGAAAGAAGAGAUAGACCCACUCCCCACUAGCUCUUGAAAUGCUUGUGGUUCAUGCAGUGAAGGAAUGCUCAAAAGAAGGGGAGAAUCCUCUGUCAGGAAUGGAGAACACGACUGCUCCUGGAAUGGUGAAGUGUCAAUCUGCAUGGUUGCUCUGUAUCCUCUUUGGGGCUUCUGAAAUUGGUGGGCAGAAUGAUGGUUGUUCUCAUAAAUAUGCAUUAUCACCAAGUCACGGUGAGUGAAACAAGAGAGUGUUAGGUAUGGACAUAUUUUCAUACAAAAUGAGUAACCAUGGGCAUGUCAAUUGUUUUCAAUUAAAAAAAGAACACCCUGUUGUCUGUUGUGUGAAAGACUUUUGGGGAGGCUUACUGUGCCAUUUAACUGGUUGACUUUUCAGAAGAAGAUGCAUGAAAGAUUAGCCAUUGUUUUUACAUUCUUGACAUUUUUCUUUUCUAGGGCAAUAGAUCCACAGAGUUCAAAGGUCCAAAAACGGAGUUUAAUGACAAAAGCCCCACCUGCCAGGACUGAGUAGCACUGGUAUGAUUUUUAGUCGCAUUUCCUAGAUAGAAAUGUCAUUUGGCCUAUUGAAGGAAAUGUGAAAUAUGUUCUAAGUUUAUGGAGGUCUAGGACAUGGUCUAAUAUGUGCUUUCAUUUCCUUUCCCAUCAAUGGUCGUCUCAUCCUCCAACCGGAUUUUUGGUAUUGUCCUGAUAACCUAUAAGGAAAAGGUCUGUUCCAUAUCAGGAAGUUCACAGGCUUGGACUUUCCAGGUGCCAUGGAUGUGGCCUUAAGAGGAUUCAAAGAAAUCCAAAUCCUAUUCACCACACUAGGAACCAGAGUCACAGCAGUGACAACAGUAGAUCCUGAACCUGCUGAGCCAUCAGGGAAUGGCUUGGUAUCUGCUGCAAGGCAAUAUUUUUGGUCCUAUUCGAGAUCCACAAAAUCAGUAACCCUGGAGGUGGGUUCCUGCCCUCAGGGAGUGAGAAGGCCCUCUGUGGGAUUAUGAUAGAUGCUCACGUUUGGGAAGCAUAGCUGGAGUCCU
RNAcentral lists this long non-coding RNA (2280 nucleotides) under Sus scrofa (pig). RNAcentral's name for it is "lncRNA (ENSSSCG00025056149.1)". Lineage: Eukaryota; Metazoa; Chordata; Mammalia; Artiodactyla; Suidae. The record is from RNAcentral.